CCUACGGGAGGCUGCAGUGGGGAAUAUUGGACAAUGGGGGGAACCCUGAUCCAGCCAUGCCGCGUGUGUGAAGAAGGCCCUCGGGUUGUAAAGCACUUUCAGUGAGGAAGAACGCCUGGUGGUUAAUACCCAUCAGGAAAGACAUCACUCACAGAAGAAGCACCGGUUAACUCCGUGCCAGCAGCCGCGGUAAUACGGAGGGUGCGAGCGUUAAUCGGAAUUACUGGGCGUAAAGCGCGCGUAGGUGGCUUGAUAAGCCGGUUGUGAAAGCCCCGGGCUCAACCUGGGAACGGCAUCCGGAACUGUCAAGCUAGAGUGCAGGAGAGGAAGGUAGAAUUCCCGGUGUAGCGGUGAAAUGCGUAGAGAUCGGGAGGAAUACCAGUGGCGAAGGCGGCCUUCUGGACUGACACUGACACUGAGGUGCGAAAGCGUGGGUAGCAAACAGGAUUAGAUACCCUAGUAGUC
RNAcentral lists this ribosomal RNA (465 nucleotides) under Vreelandella stevensii. RNAcentral's name for it is "partial 16S ribosomal RNA". It matches the Rfam family "Bacterial small subunit ribosomal RNA", at positions 338 to 795 of the family's 1533-position model. The record is from RNAcentral. Lineage: Bacteria; Pseudomonadati; Pseudomonadota; Gammaproteobacteria; Oceanospirillales; Halomonadaceae.